AUACAUGCAGUCGACGGUGUCUUCGGACAUAGUGGCGCACGGGUGCGUAACACGUAUGCAACCUACCUUACAUUGGGGGAUAGCCUUUCGAAAGGGAGAUUAAUACCGCAUAAGACAGUAAAUGGGCAUCCAUUAGCUGUUAAAGAUUUAUCGAUGUAAGUUGGGCAUGCGACCAAUUAGUUAGUUGGCGAGGUAAUGGCUCACCAAGACUAUGAUUGGUAGGGGAACUGAGAGGUCAAUCCCCCACACUGGCACUGAGAUACGGGCCAGACUCCUACGGGAGGCAGCAGUAGGGAAUAUUGGGCAAUGGACGCAAGUCUGACCCAGCCAUGCCGCGUGCAGGAUGAAGGCGUUAUGCGUCGUAAACUGCUUUUAUACAGGAAGAAACGACUCUUGCGAGAGGCAUUGACGGUACUGUAUGAAUAAGCACCGGCUAACUCCGUGCCAGCAGCCGCGGUAAUACGGAGGGUGCAAGCGUUGUCCGGAUUUAUUGGGUUUAAAGGGUGCGCAGGUGGUUUAUUAAGUCAGUGGUGAAAAGACGGUCGCUCAACGAUUGCAGUGCCAUUGAAACUAGUAGACUUGAGUAAAGUAGAGGUGGGCGGAAUUGAUAGUGUAGCGGUGAAAUGCAUAGAUAUUAUCAAGAACUCCAAUUGCGAAGGCAGCUCACUUGGCUUUUACUGACACUCAUGCACGAAAGUGUGGGUAUCAAACAGGAUUAGAUACCCUGGUAGUCCACACUGUAAACGAUGAUAACUAGGUGUCGGCCGAAUCUGGUCGGUGCCACAGCGAAAGCGUUAAGUUAUCCACCUGGGGAGUACGCCGGCACGGUGAAACUCAAAGGAAUUGACGGGGUCCGCACAAGCGGUGGAGCAUGUGGUUUAAUUCGAUGAUACGCGAGGAACCUUACCUAGGCUAGAAUGUGAANAAUGAUACAGAAAUG
This 940-nucleotide ribosomal RNA is filed under the name uncultured bacterium. RNAcentral's name for it is "bacterial SSU rRNA". It matches the Rfam family "Bacterial small subunit ribosomal RNA", at positions 51 to 1008 of the family's 1533-position model. The record is from RNAcentral.